Molecule: ribosomal RNA, 255 nt
Filed under: uncultured bacterium
Lineage: Bacteria
Description: partial 16S ribosomal RNA
Rfam family: Bacterial small subunit ribosomal RNA
Source: RNAcentral
UACGUAGGGUGCUAGCGUUGUCCGGAUUUAUUGGGCGUAAAGGGCUCGUAGGCGGCGUGUCGCGUCGGGGAGUGAAAGCCCGCUGCUUAACGGCGGGUUGGCUUCCGGUACGGGCAUCGCUGGAGUGCGGCAGGGGAGACUGGAAUUCCUGGUGUAGCGGUGGAAUGCGCAGAUAUCAGGAGGAACACCGGUGGCGAAGGCGGGUCUCUGGGCCGUUACUGACGCUGAGGAGCGAAAGCGUGGGGAGCGAACAGG